RNAcentral lists this long non-coding RNA (676 nucleotides) under Ananas comosus (pineapple). RNAcentral's name for it is "long non-coding RNA (ACOM_LNC026035)". Lineage: Eukaryota; Viridiplantae; Streptophyta; Magnoliopsida; Poales; Bromeliaceae. The record is from RNAcentral.
UGUGAGAUCCCUGGUGUUUGACUGUGGAGACUUGUCGACAGCUCUGGAGAGUGUCGGGACAAGUCCGAGUCGCGUUGGCGUCAAAUGGACGCAAAACGGGCUCCGUGCGACGCGAGGGCAACUUUCAGCGAAGAAAAUCUGCAAACUGCAGUUUUUCUGCUUGCUGUACCGGUACAGCCAUCAAGGUGUACCGGUACACUGCACUGGACCGCGCGUGGGUUGCUCUCGGGUUGGCUCCUGUACCGGUACGCGAUCCCGUGUACCGGUACACCAGAGUAGGUGAGGGGCUUUUUGGUAUUUUUACAUUGCCUCGUUUGUAUCUCCCCUCACUCCCCUCUAUAUAGUUUCGUGUAGGGAGAGAGAGAGAGACUUUUUGCUGCCAUUCUCCAUCUCUCUCUCACUCUUCCAUCCGGUUGAAGGCAAGGUGGAACUCGGGUGGAGUUUUGUCGCCGACGUCGCGCCGCGAAGCCGCUAGAGCUUGUGUUGACGCCGGGGCUUUGCGAGGAGGCCGGGCGAGCGGAGGUUUUCGCCGUCCUUGCUGUCACACAGGUACUUGGUGUUGUCGAGGUGAGUAUUCAGCAUUUCUUUGGAUUUUUGGGCAAAUUCUUACGACUUCAACUCGAGGAGAUGUUGUUUGCUGAAUUUCACCGUCGACUGUUUGUAUUUUGGUUCGUUC